This 2052-nucleotide long non-coding RNA is filed under the name Androctonus crassicauda. Lineage: Eukaryota; Metazoa; Arthropoda; Arachnida; Scorpiones; Buthidae. The record is from RNAcentral.
GAUGCAAGGGAUGCGCGGCACCCAGGUGGCAGAGUCUAAGGGGCGGCAGCUAAGCCUUUGUUACAUAGUUGAUUUUUCAAAUUCGAAAUUAAGAAUUCCUUUCUAACGCUGAUUAUGAAAAAAAUCUGUUACAUUGUUUUCCUGAGCAAAUUAAAAUUUUCUUUUAAAUGUUUUCCAUAGUGACCCUGAAAGCUAUAAAUUAUCCUCGUUUCAAUACAUUAUUAACAUCUACUACAGUAAUUGUAUUGUACGAACUAACUCACCAGCCAUUAUGUUUUGUUCGAAUUUUCUGUUAAUUACUAGUAAACAUAAUGAAGAGGCAACCUAUUUUGAGGAUUAUUUACGAGGUACUUAUGAAUCUACUGUAAAAUAAAAGGUAAGUUACAUUGGCUUCUAUUUUUUAUGUAAAAUAGUUUCCGAUCCCAGUAAAAUUUCCAAAAAAAAAUCCAUAAAGUUUUAGAAGUAAAACGAGAACUGCAUCUUCAAUUGGGAAAUGGGAUAUUUGCUCCGAGCAAUUUUAUAGAAAGGCAUAAAAAAGUAAAAUAAAAAAUAUAUGUAUCUAAUAAAAUGAUAAUGCAUUAAAUAAAAAUAUUUCAUGUACGCAUUGAAAUAUUUUUAUUUAAUAUAUUCUGGUGUCCGGAUGUUCCUUGACUGAUAAUGACUGUUUGUUUUGAUUAUACUAACACCUAAAGCAGAUUUGGGAGCGUUCUCCACUUUUAUUCUGUUAAGAAUUUGGUAAAAAUUGCUUGGGAGUUUUCAAUCCAAUGACCCGUGGAAAAACCUCUAAAAUUUUGUCAGUCUUUGGCCAGAAUCCAAUGAAGGAUCUGCAGAGAUUGAGAUCUAAUCCUCCGACCAAUCACAUUGAAUUCUGGAAGACCUUGAAAGACCUGUCGCAUAUCCAAUGGACAGGCAGGCAUAGAGUUCGGAUUUCCAGACACCUGCAUACUGAAAAUAGUAGUGGGAGCAGCUGAGUGAGAUAAUUGUGUAAUUAUAAACUUGUUCACAAACGAGGACAACACACAAGUGCCAAGACUAACUUCCGUGUCUCAUCAUCACUUCGGCACCUGACAUCGCUGAAUCUUUGAACUCUCUCUCUGAUAAAACCCAGGUAUGAGUUUAUUCCUAAAUUCGUCAUUCGGUUAUUUGUAAAAUAGUAUUGCUAAUUUUGAUCUAUCGGAUCCUCUUUUCCUACACCAAUAGAGAAUAGGUCAGUGAAGUUGACCUCCUAAAGUGAAGGCAUAAACGAUUAACUAUGACCAUGAUAAAGGCCUUUGUUAUUGUCUUAAAAUUUUUUCCUGAAAACUCGACAUGGUACCGGCAAAUUUUAAAGUGACGUUUCACACUGUAUAUUUUAAAAAAUCGUUGUAUCUUCUGUGAAAAUAAAGAUUUUGAGAAACGUCACUUCUAAUAAUUUAAUUUCUUCAAAAUGAAAAUGAUCUAGAACUGAUCAUAAAAUAACAGUUCAAAUAGGCACAUAAAACCUAGUGUGGCAUGUAUAUUAAUAAACUGUGCAAAAAUUAUGCAUUUUAUGGCAAUUUUAAAUAAUUUUAUUGUUAUAGAUGCCGCCAUAUUGCCACUUAAGCAGACAUUUUUUACAAUUUUAGAUUAAUUUUAGUAUGUUAAAAUAUUAAAUUUAUCUAACGAUUAUACGGGAUAUUUAUCGCGUUUUAUAAAUAUUGCCGCAACUUAUUCGUUAUACUAUAUGAAUCCGCGCCAUUAGAGAUAGCUUCAUACGAUGGUCAACUGUAUAUGUUAUCUUUAAAAAUAUUAUUUGUGCUCGAUCACCUUUAAAGCAAAACAAAGCAGAUUAUCAAAUUUAGCUACUUAUUUAUCAAAUAUUCUGCAGAGCAAUUAAUUUAUUUCGAUGAUAAAAUGAUAAAUGUGCAAAGCUGAAUUAUAAUAUCUUUUUUUGUUAAUUUGCACCAUACAUUAAAUUAUAAUCACCGUAGAAUUAUAUUUAUGUUGUUUUUCUUUGUUAGAUAAUUUUUAUGAUAUACUGUAUGUUAUUUUCUUUGUAUUAUAAAAAUUCAUUUAGUUUAUUUAUUUUUAUUU